CCCGCCGGCGACCGGCGCACGGGUGAGUAACACGUAUGAAACCUGCCCGUAGCAGGGGGAUAAGCGGAAGAAAUUCCGUCUAAUACCGCGUAACAACCCAUGGAGGCAUCUCUGUGGGUUUAAAGGAAGCGAUUCCGGCUACGGAUGGUCAUGCGUCGCAUUAGCUUGUUGGCGGGGUAACGGCCCACCGAGGCGACGAUGCGUAGGGGUUCUGAGAGGAAGGUCCCCCACACUGGUACUGAGACACGGACCAGACUCCUACGGGAGGCAGCAG
RNAcentral lists this ribosomal RNA (274 nucleotides) under uncultured bacterium. Its description in RNAcentral is "partial 16S ribosomal RNA". It matches the Rfam family "Bacterial small subunit ribosomal RNA", at positions 84 to 354 of the family's 1533-position model. The record is from RNAcentral.